Molecule: non-coding RNA, 24 nt
Filed under: Arabidopsis thaliana (thale cress)
Lineage: Eukaryota; Viridiplantae; Streptophyta; Magnoliopsida; Brassicales; Brassicaceae
Source: RNAcentral
AUGCAAGCUCAAUGUCCACAUGGC